GACGAACCGAGCGAACGUUAUUCGGAAUUACUGGGCGUAAAGCGUGCGCAGGCGGUUGUGCAAGACAGGUGUGAAAUCCCCGGGCUUAACCUGGGAAUUGCAUUUGUGACUGCACGGCUAGAGUGUGUCAGAGGGGGGUAGAAUUCCACGUGUAGCAGUGAAAUGCGUAGAUAUGUGGAGGAAUACCGAUGGCGAAGGCAGCCCCCUGGGAUAACACUGACGCUCAUGCACGAAAGCGUGGGGAGCAAACAGG
Molecule: ribosomal RNA, 253 nt
Filed under: uncultured bacterium
Lineage: Bacteria
Description: partial 16S ribosomal RNA
Rfam family: Bacterial small subunit ribosomal RNA
Source: RNAcentral